This 430-nucleotide ribosomal RNA is filed under the name uncultured bacterium. RNAcentral describes it as "partial 16S ribosomal RNA". It matches the Rfam family "Bacterial small subunit ribosomal RNA", at positions 29 to 507 of the family's 1533-position model. The record is from RNAcentral.
GCGAACGCUGGCGGCAGGCUUAACACAUGCACGUCGAGCGCCCCGCAAGGGGAGCGGCAGACGGGAGAGUAACACGUGGGAACAUACCUUUUGGUUCGGAACAACUGAGGGAAACUUCAGCUAAUACCGGAUAAGCCCUUACGGGGAAAGAUUUAUCGCCGAAAGAUUGGCCCGCGUCUGAUUAGCUAGUUGGUGAGGUAACGGCUCACCAAGGCGACGAUCAGUAGCUGGUCUGAGAGGAUGAUCAGCCUCACUGGGACUGAGACACGGCCCAGACUCCUACGGGAGGCAGCAGUGGGGAAUAUUGGACAAUGGGGGCAACCCUGAUCCAGCCAUGCCGCGUGAGUGAUGAAGGCCUUAGGGUUGUAAAGCUCUUUUGCCCGGGAAGAUAAUGACGGUACCGGGAGAAUAAGCCCCGGCUAACUUCGUG